GCGGGUGUAAAGCUCAGUGGUAGAGCAUUCGACUGUAGAUCGAGAGGUCCCCGGUUCAAACCCGGGUGUCCCCU
This is a non-coding RNA of Trichonephila inaurata madagascariensis, 74 nucleotides long. The record is from the annotation of a GenBank genome assembly. NCBI's taxonomy places the organism in Eukaryota, Metazoa, Arthropoda, Arachnida, Araneae, Nephilidae.